CCUACGGGAGGCAGCAGUGAGGAAUAUUGGUCAAUGGACGCAAGUCUGAACCAGCCAUGUAGCGUGCAGGAUGACUGCCCUAUGAGUUGUAAACUUCUUUUGUACAAGGAUAAAGUCAGGCACGUGUGCCUUUUUGUAUGUACUUUAUGAAUAAGGAUCGGCUAACUCCGUGCCAGCAGCCGCGGUAAUACGGAGGAUCCGAGCGUUAUCCGGAUUUAUUGGGUUUAAAGGGUGCGUAGGCGGGCGGUUAAGUUAGAUGUGAAAGCUCGAGGCUCAACCGUGAAAUUGCAACUGAUACUGGCAGGCUAGAGAACAGUUGCGGUAGGCGGAAUGUGUGGUGUAGCGGUGAAAUGCUUAGAGAUCACAAAGAACUCCGAUUGCGAAGGCAGCUUACCAAGCUACUUCUGACAUUGAGGCACGAAAGCGUGGGGAGCAAACAGGAUUAGAUACCCUGGUAGUC
RNAcentral lists this ribosomal RNA (460 nucleotides) under uncultured bacterium. Its description in RNAcentral is "partial 16S ribosomal RNA". It matches the Rfam family "Bacterial small subunit ribosomal RNA", at positions 338 to 795 of the family's 1533-position model. The record is from RNAcentral.